UACGGAGGGUGCGAGCGUUGUCCGGAAUCAUUGGGCGUAAAGGGCGCGUAGGUGGCCCGGUCAGUCUUUGGUGAAAGCGCGGGGCUCAACCCUGCGUCGGCCAGGGAUACUGCCGCGGCUCGAGCACUGUAGAGGCAGGCGGAAUUCCGGGUGUAGCGGUGGAAUGCGUAGAGAUCCGGAAGAACACCGGUGGCGAAGGCGGUUAGCUGGGCAGUUGCUGACACUGAGGCGCGACAGCGUGGGGAGCAAACAGG
This 254-nucleotide ribosomal RNA is filed under the name uncultured bacterium. Its description in RNAcentral is "partial 16S ribosomal RNA". It matches the Rfam family "Bacterial small subunit ribosomal RNA", at positions 524 to 776 of the family's 1533-position model. The record is from RNAcentral.